RNAcentral lists this ribosomal RNA (301 nucleotides) under uncultured bacterium. RNAcentral describes it as "partial 16S ribosomal RNA". It matches the Rfam family "Bacterial small subunit ribosomal RNA", at positions 509 to 807 of the family's 1533-position model. The record is from RNAcentral.
CAGCCGCCACGGGAAUACGUAGGGUGCGAGCGUUAAUCGGAAUUACUGGGCGUAAAGCGUGCGCAGGCGGUUGUGUAAGACAGGUGUGAAAUCCCCGGGCUUAACCUGGGAACUGCGCUUGUGACUGCACAGCUAGAGUAUGGCAGAGGGGGGUGGAAUUCCACGUGUAGCAGUGAAAUGCGUAGAGAUGCGGAGGAACACCGAUGGCGAAGGCAGCCCCCUGGGCCAAUACUGACGCUCAUGCACGAAAGCGUGGGGAGCAAACAGGAUUAGAUACCCGCGUAGUCCCUGUCUCUUAUAC